GUUUGAAUAAAAUAUACAGUCUGACCUGCCCACUGAGUUGUUAAAGGGCCGCGGUAUCUGAACCGUGCUAAGGUAGCAUAAUAAAUAGUCUUUUAAUUGGAGUCUAGUAUGAAUGGUCGGACAGGGGGCAAGCUGUCUUGGUUAUAAAAUUUGAAUUUUACUUCUAAGUGAAAAGGCUUAGAUUAGAUGGUGGGACGAUAAGACCCUGUGAAGCUUUAACAUGUGGGUCGUAAGUUGAGGAGAUUAGGGUGUUCUGUUCUUAUCGGCCAGGGUGUUUCGUUGGGGCGACGGAAAUAUAAAUAGUAACUGUUUUUAUUGAAAAAUAGAUCUUUUUAGGUGAUUUGAUCCUUUAUUAGGAUUAUAAGAAUAAAGUUACUUCAGGGAUAACAGCGUAAUUUUUCUUGAGAGUUCAUAUCGACAGAAGUAGUUGCGACCUCGAUGUUGAAUUAAGGUGUCCUUAAGGUGUAGCAGUUUUGGGGGUAGGUCUGUUCGACCUUUAAAGC
RNAcentral lists this ribosomal RNA (503 nucleotides) under Caridina longicarpus. RNAcentral describes it as "partial 16S ribosomal RNA". It matches the Rfam family "Bacterial large subunit ribosomal RNA", at positions 1830 to 2594 of the family's 2925-position model. The record is from RNAcentral. Lineage: Eukaryota; Metazoa; Arthropoda; Malacostraca; Decapoda; Atyidae.